Molecule: ribosomal RNA, 530 nt
Filed under: uncultured bacterium
Lineage: Bacteria
Description: bacterial SSU rRNA
Rfam family: Bacterial small subunit ribosomal RNA
Source: RNAcentral
AAUAGAUACCCUGGUAGUCCACGCCGUAAACGUUGGCGCUAGGAUGGUGGGGACCUUUCCACGGUUUCCGUGUCGUAGCUAACGCAUUAAGCGCCCCGCCUGGGGAGUACGGCCGCAAGGCUAAAACUCAAAGGAAUUGACGGGGGCCCGCACAAGCGGCGGAGCAUGCGGAUUAAUUCGAUGCAACGCGAAGAACCUUACCAAGGCUUGACAUACACGAGAACGGGCCAGAAAUGGUCAACUCUUUGGACACUCGUGAACAGGUGGUGCAUGGUUGUCGUCAGCUCGUGUCGUGAGAUGUUGGGUUAAGUCCCGCAACGAGCGCAACCCUCGUCGCAUGUUGCCAGCACGUUAUGGUGGGGACUCAUGUGAGACUGCCGGGGUCAACUCGGAGGAAGGUGGGGAUGACGUCAAAUCAUCAUGCCCCUUAUGUCUUGGGCUUCACGCAUGCUACAAUGGCCGGUACAAAGGGCUGCGAUGUCGUAAGGCGGAGCGAAUCCCAAAAAGCCGGUCUCAGUUCGGAUUGAGGU